RNAcentral lists this unclassified non-coding RNA (268 nucleotides) under fungal sp. RNAcentral describes it as "partial internal transcribed spacer region". The stretch from base 1 to 46 matches the Rfam family "Eukaryotic small subunit ribosomal RNA", at positions 1786 to 1831 of the family's 1831-position model. The record is from RNAcentral. RNAcentral also lists the same sequence under 1 other name. Lineage: Eukaryota; Fungi.
AAGUCGUAACAAGGUUUCCGUAGGUGAACCUGCGGAAGGAUCAUUACAUUCAGUAGCUUGCUACUGUUAGGGAGGCCGGUUAGUCUGUAUAGUAUCACUACUGAUGAGCAGCGCGGCCUUCUGUCUGUACCCUUGUCUUUUGCGCACUCAUGUUUCCUCGGCUGGGUUUACGCCUGCCGGCUGGACAACUCUAUAACCUUUUUAAUUUUCAAUCAGCGUCUGAAAAACCUAAUAAUUACAACUUUCAACAACGGAUCUCUUGGUUCUG